Molecule: non-coding RNA, 28 nt
Filed under: Mus musculus (house mouse)
Lineage: Eukaryota; Metazoa; Chordata; Mammalia; Rodentia; Muridae
Source: RNAcentral
UGCCAAGGAAGUUUUACUGUCUUAGCCU